UUGUGGUCGGAGCGGCAAUGAACCUGGGAGUCAGUUGGAUUGUCCGCAGGGGCAUCCAUAGAUGGUGGUUCGGCUACGUGAUGUGUUGGAUAGACAUAUGCCUCGUAGGAAUGGCCGUUGCCUCCAUUGGCCCGGGCGGUACCAUCAUUGGCUUCCUUUUCGUGGCUAUGCCUUGUUCCUUGUGGCCGGGUAGGACUCUCGGAAUAUUCGCGGCAUUCACCUCCUCGAUUGCCUACGUUCUCUCCGCUUACCUACACCCAAUGAUCGCGGGCGAGUACACCGGCAUCAGAUCGAUGUCACCUUCGGUACUCUUGUUGGAGGUGUUCCUCUUUCUUGCCGUUGCGCUGGCCUUACAGGCAGCGCCGAACGACAUUCUCAAGAGAAUCCGCAGCACGAGGUUGUUGG
This 405-nucleotide ribosomal RNA is filed under the name uncultured eukaryote. RNAcentral's name for it is "partial small subunit ribosomal RNA". The record is from RNAcentral.